RNAcentral lists this long non-coding RNA (422 nucleotides) under Fukomys damarensis (Damara mole-rat). Its description in RNAcentral is "lncRNA (ENSFDAG00000030741.1)". The record is from RNAcentral. Lineage: Eukaryota; Metazoa; Chordata; Mammalia; Rodentia; Bathyergidae.
GCUCUUUUCAGAAACUAAAGCAACUUAUAGGGAAGAAGAACAAACCAGUCUCAUAAAAGAUGGUGAAAAUCGGAGGGAGACGUCAGGGCCAGGGACAGAGAGGUCUCCAAGUAUUCUUUCAAUUUGCCGGGCAGUGCGGACCCACGUUUCAGUUUAUGUCAUCUUCUUCCCACAGCCUCCUGUGUUCUGGGGACCACACCUCACUACAAUCACCAGUGACGAAGCAAACUACACUGACCUGUGUGACACAGCCAGGACUAUGGCAUAGGAGCUCUACAGACACAGACCUAGGAGCCACGCGGGCGGGCGUCACCCGUGUGCAUGGGCACCGUCGGCCCACAGUGCUGGCUGCCGCGAUGCCACCGUCAGGAAGAACAAAACUCGAAGUGGGGCGGGAGGCCUCCUCCGAAACCGCAGGCUAA